GGUGUGGCCUUGUUGGAGGAAGUGUGUCACUGGGGGUGGGCUUUGAGGUUUCAGAAGCUCAAGCCAGGUCUACUGUCAUCCUCUUUUCCUGCUGCCUUCAGAUCC
RNAcentral lists this microRNA precursor (105 nucleotides) under Microtus ochrogaster (prairie vole). Its description in RNAcentral is "miRNA (ENSMOCG00000007458.1)". The record is from RNAcentral. Lineage: Eukaryota; Metazoa; Chordata; Mammalia; Rodentia; Cricetidae.